This 795-nucleotide ribosomal RNA is filed under the name Triticum aestivum (bread wheat). Its description in RNAcentral is "partial small subunit ribosomal RNA". The record is from RNAcentral. Lineage: Eukaryota; Viridiplantae; Streptophyta; Magnoliopsida; Poales; Poaceae.
AUGAAGGAUCUAGGAGUAGCUGAUGUUAUCUUAAACAUCAAGCUGUUGAGAGAUGAGAAUGGUGGGAUCACACUGCUUCAGUCUCAUUAUGUGGAAAAGGUCUUGAGUCAUUUUGGGUAUAGCGACUGCACGCCUUCUCCAACUCCAUAUGAUGCUAGUGUUGCCACGAGGCCUGACAUCUCUUUUGCUAUGAGCAAGCUGAGUCGGUUUGUGUCAAAACUGGGAGAUGAUCAUUGGCAUGCGCUUGAGAGAGUUAUGCGCUAUUUGAAAGGCACCGCGAGCUAUGGGAUUCACUACACCGGGUAUCCAAGGGUACUGAAGGGUUAUAGUGACUCAAACUGGAUAUCUGAUGCUGAUGAGAUUAAGGCCACAAGUGGUUAUGUUUUUACACUUGGUGGUGGCGCUGUUUCCUGGAAGUCUUGCAAGCAGACCAUCUUAACGAGGUCAACUAUGGAAACAGAACUCACAACAUUAGACACUGCCACUGUUGAAGCAGAGUGGCUUCGUGAACUCUUGAUGGACUUACCUAUGGUUGAAAAACCAAUACCCCCUAUCCUGAUGAACUGUGAUAAUCAAACUGUGAUCGUCAAGAUAAACAGUUCUAAGAAAAAUAUGAAGUCCUCGAGGCAUGUGAAGAGGAGACUAAAAUCUGUCAGAAAAUUGAGGAACUCCGGAGUUACUACAAUGGAUUAUAUCCAAACAUCGAAAAACUUGGCAGAUCCCUUCACAAAGGGUCUAUCACGUAAUGUGAUAGAUAAUGCAUCGACGGAGAUGGGUUUGAGACCCACCGCAUGA